Molecule: ribosomal RNA, 301 nt
Filed under: uncultured Hyphomicrobiales bacterium
Lineage: Bacteria; Pseudomonadati; Pseudomonadota; Alphaproteobacteria; Hyphomicrobiales
Description: bacterial SSU rRNA
Rfam family: Bacterial small subunit ribosomal RNA
Source: RNAcentral
GGCUCAGAACGAACGCUGGCGGCAGGCCUAACACAUGCAAGUCGAGCGCCCCGCAAGGGGAGCGGCAGACGGGAGAGUAACACGUGGGAACGUGCCCUUCAGUUCGGAACAACCAAGGGAAACUUUGGCUAAUACCGGAUACGUCCGUAAGGAGAAAGAUUUAUCGCUGAAAGAUCGGCCCGCGUCUGAUUAGCUAGUUGGUGGGGUAAUGGCCCACCAAGGCGGCGAUCAGUAGCUGGUCUGAGAGGAUGAUCAGCCACACUGGGACUGUGUCACGGCCCAAAGACCUACGGGAGGCAGC